UAACAGUCUCCAGUCACGGCC
RNAcentral lists this non-coding RNA (21 nucleotides) under Homo sapiens (human). Its record names the gene hsa-miR-212-3p. Lineage: Eukaryota; Metazoa; Chordata; Mammalia; Primates; Hominidae. RNAcentral also lists the same sequence under 5 other names. The record is from miRBase by way of RNAcentral.